UCCUGGCUCAGAACGAACGCUGGCGGCAGGUCUUAGGCAUGCAAGUCGAACGGAUGACAGAGAGCUUGCUCUCUGAAGUCAGUGGCGCACGAGUGAGUAACGCGUGGGAAACUGCCCUUCACUGGGGAAUAACGUUUGGAAACGAACGCUAAUACCGCAUACGCCCGCAAGGGGAAAGAUUUAUCGGUGAUGGAUGUGCCCGCGUUGGAUUAGCCAGUUGGUGGGGUAAUGGCCUACCAAAGCAAUGAUCCAUAGCUGGUCUGAGAGGACGAUCAGCCACGCUGGAACUGAGACACGGUCCAGACUCCUACGGGAGGCAGCAGCUAAGAAUAUUGGGCAAUGGAGGAAACUCUGACCCAGCCCAUGCCGCGUGAAUGAAGAAGGCCUUCGGGUUGUAAAGUUCUUUUAGUCAUGAAGAUGAUGACAGUAGUGACAGAAAAAGCACCGGCUAACUUCGUGCCAGCAGCGGC
RNAcentral lists this ribosomal RNA (470 nucleotides) under uncultured bacterium. Its description in RNAcentral is "bacterial SSU rRNA". It matches the Rfam family "Bacterial small subunit ribosomal RNA", at positions 17 to 518 of the family's 1533-position model. The record is from RNAcentral.